This 550-nucleotide ribosomal RNA is filed under the name uncultured Glomus. RNAcentral describes it as "SSU rRNA". It matches the Rfam family "Eukaryotic small subunit ribosomal RNA", at positions 569 to 1116 of the family's 1831-position model. Lineage: Eukaryota; Fungi; Glomeromycota; Glomeromycetes; Glomerales; Glomeraceae. The record is from RNAcentral.
AGCAGCCGCGGUAAUUCCCGCUCCAAUAGCGUAUAUUAAAGUUGUUGCAGUUAAAAAGUUCGUAGUUGAAUUUCGGGGUUAGUAGGUUGGUCAUGCCUCUGGUAUGUACUGGUCUCACUGAUUCCUCCUUCCUGAUGAACCUUAAUGCCAUUAAUUUGGUGUUUUGGGGAAUUUGGACUGUUACUUUGAAAAAAUUAGAGUGUUUAAAGCAAGCUAACGCUUGAAUACAUUAGCAUGGAAUAAUGAAAUAGGACGUUCGAUCCUAUUUUGUUGGUUUCUAGGAUUGACGUAAUGAUUAAUAGGGAUAGUUGGGGGCAUUAGUAUUCAAUUGUCAGAGGUGAAAUUCUUGGAUUUAUUGAAGACUAACUACUGCGAAAGCAUUUGCCAAGGAUGUUUCAUUAAUCAAGAACGAAAGUUAGGGGACCGAAGACGAUCAGAUACCGUCGUAGUCUUAACCAUAAACUAUGCCGACUAGGGAUCGGAAUGAUGUUAAUUUCUUAAUGUACUCAUUCGGCGCCCUUACGGGAAACCAAAGGUGUUUGGGUUCGUA